UUAGAAAGUACGCUGCAAACAACCCAGAAAUUACUGUAUUGCAGAACAUAGAAGAAACCCGAUAUAUUGUGGUGCUUGUAACUCCUUUUAUGAGGAGAAUUCACAGUAACUUCAGGGAAGCUGGAGAAAUAGUGUUUGUAGACGCUACAGGAUGUGUUGAUCAACUCAAUACAUCACUUAUCCCAUUUCUUUGUGCUGGACCAACAGGAGCUGCUCCUCUUGCUCUACUGUUUACAUCAUCCAUAGAUGAAGGAACACUAAAGAAAGGUUUUGAUAUGGUGAAAUGUGCUCUUGGAGACGGUGCGUUUUAUGGGAGGCAGUCACCGCAAACCUUCAUGACUGACAACUGUACUGCAAUGAAGAAAGCCUUAGCAGAAGCCUGGCCUGCGGCUCGACAGUUUUUAUGUAUUUUUCACCUACUUCAACAAGUGUGGCGAUGGCUACUUGACCUCAAGCAUGGCAUAAAGAAAGAAGACCGCCAAGUGCUGAUGGGUGCAGUGAAGUGCCUCGUUUAUGCAUCAUCAAAAGAAGAUUUCUUCACAGUUUGGCAACAAUUCCAGGCUAACCCUCUUUCACAGAAAUAUGCAAACUUCAGCAGUUACCUCAGUUCACUAAUGGAACGGAAGGAGGAGUGGGGCAUUACGUUCAGGGGUGGCGCCAUGUUGCGAGGUCAUCAUACGAACAAUUUCAGCGAGGCCACCAUGUGCAUCAUUAAGGAAGUUGUUUUGAAUAGGUAAGUAUC
Eriocheir sinensis (Chinese mitten crab) is the source of this 742-nucleotide long non-coding RNA. RefSeq lists it as uncharacterized. NCBI's taxonomy places the organism in Eukaryota, Metazoa, Arthropoda, Malacostraca, Decapoda, Varunidae. The record is from RefSeq and is a predicted model, not a curated record. The transcript has 3 exons.